UGGGGGCACAAUGAAACAAGGGGCACAAUGAAACAGUGGUUGUUUCCUCCAUAUUUGAAAUAACAGACUGGUGGCACUAGUGGUGGUUGGGAUCUGUACUACAACAUAGAACAUUGGAGCAAGUAGAAGAUGCUAUCAUGUAUUCUAUGGAUAGCAUGCGACUUUAGUUGUUUUGGUAGCUCAAAAGUAAAAAUUUUGUAUUUAUGUUAAUUUUAUUUUACAAAUAUUGUUUUGAAAACAUGUGUUUGUUGAAGAGACUGUUGGAAAGGGUGGAGAUCACUUUUUAAUCAACAUAACAUCAUGGUUCGAAACAGAGUGAGAAAAACGGAAAAGGGAAACUUUUCCGAAGGUAACAUGUGUGAAGCUGUUGCGUUAGUUCAAAAUGGUUUCAGCUUGCGCAAAGCUGCGACUGCCAAAGGACUAAAAUAUGCAACACUUUGUCGGUAUGUGAAGAAGAAAAAAUUAGCUGGCCCAGAGAUGCAUGUGUUGUAUGUGCUGUCUUUCAUCAUAGAGAGGGUUGGAUUCUCGAUUCGACCAUUUGCCAACUCACUCGUGCAGUACCUCCCACAGCUGUGGCAGCAGUCAGCAGAACACAACAUGCUUCGCUGUGCCAUUGUCUCCACCAUGGUUCACCUGGUGAAGGCCUUCGGCAUGGUGACGGAGACCCUGUACCCAUUCCUGGUCCCCAUGGUGGCCCUGAGCACGGACCUCAGCCAGCCGGCACACGUGUACCUGAUGGAGGACGGCCUGGAGCUGUGGCUGGCCGUGUUGGAGAACUCCUCGCAGGUCACGCCUGAGCUGCUGCAGCUGUUUCGCAACAUGCCUCACCUACUGGAGCACUGCACGGACAACAUCCGCACCUGCUUCUACAUCAUCCAGGCCAACAUCCUUCUGGCCCCGGACCUCUUCUUGAAGACGUACGGGGAGCCCAUCAUCAUGCACUGUGAUGACAUACUGUCCGACAUGCGCAGUGAAGGCGUGGUCCUGACCAUGCGGUUGGUGGAGACGUACCUCCGAGCCGCACCUUCUCUUGCGACAGACGUGGUGAAGCCCAUCUUGCCGCGAGUGUUCCUGGCUGUUUACAAGGGGGAGGAAUACCCCAUGGUGAUGUCAAUGUACUUGUCGGUAAUGUCCAGAGUACUUCUCAAUUCCCUUCAGGCAUUUAGUCAAUUCACUGUUUUUCCAGUGCAGUUCUGGAGAGGUUCUGCGGCAUUGUUCUCUGUGUCACCGAAGCACUAAAUGACGUGAUGAAGAUUGAUGAAGAAGGAAGUUUAUAUGAUUCUUUAAUGUUCUCGAAUAAUCAUUUGAGCUCUGCAAGUGAAGAUAAUGUGGACUACGAAACUGAGCACGAUCAUCGACGCAAGCUGCUGUCAGCUACAGAUCCUGUGUACACUACUGUCUUGCGAAACUACUUUCAAAGACAGGUGGCAGAACUGCAAAGUCAAGUUGGCCCAGUUCAGUUCGAACAACUGAUCCAAACCAUUGAUGUUGAGACACUACAGCAGGCAAGGGCAUUC
Molecule: RNA transcript, 1517 nt
Organism: Bacillus rossius redtenbacheri
Lineage: Eukaryota; Metazoa; Arthropoda; Insecta; Phasmatodea; Bacillidae
Gene name: importin-11-like
Exons: 9
Source: RefSeq, a predicted model, not a curated record